Bubalus bubalis (water buffalo) is the source of this 367-nucleotide long non-coding RNA. RefSeq lists it as uncharacterized. Lineage: Eukaryota; Metazoa; Chordata; Mammalia; Artiodactyla; Bovidae. The record is from RefSeq and is a predicted model, not a curated record. The transcript is spliced from 3 exons.
UUAUCGCUCCAUUUCACACGAAGAAACCAAAGUGCCAAAAAACUGUAUUAACUUGUGGAGUGAACUCAACGGGACAGAGCAGAGUUGAGAAUAACCCCAAUGUGCCGACUCCACAUCCAGUCUUAUACUGGAAACUCUCAGAAGACACGUGACACCCUAGAUCCAUAAAUUUCCUGUUUGCUUAAGACAGUGUGAGUUGGAUUUCUGUGACUUGCAACUGAAAGAAUCCAGACGCUUUAAGUUGGGAGUUCAGGAGACAAGGAAGGAAACCACAGGACGGAGGAGCUUCCACGCCUCUGCACCUGCUCGUCCUGCUUGUGCGCCCAGGGUGAGAGCGGCCGGUACAGAGCUGCGGACGUGUUGAGAC